UCUAUUCCUCUUUCUUUACCUCUCCCUCUCUUUCCCCCUCUAUUCCUCUUUCUUUACCUCUCCCUCUCUUUCCCCCUCUAUUCCUCUUUAUCUCUCUCUGUCCCCUCUAUUCCCUUCUUUCUCUCUCUCCCUCUUUCCCCUCUAUUCCCUUCUUUCUCUCUCUCUCUCUUUCCCCCUCUAUUCCUCUUUCUUUAUCUCUCUCUCUGCUGUCUGUCUGUCUUUCUGUCUGUCUGUCUGUGUCUCUCUACCUACCUCCCUCCCUCUCUUUCCCUCAGCCCCUCUGACACAGACAGACAGACAGACAGACAGACUCUCUCUUACACACUCUGAGCUGAGACUGAGCUCUUAUAGUCCCUUGCUGAAAGGGGCUGAGCCUAUCGCAGUGGAGGGCAGUGUCCUGUUACAUUCCUCUCAAUUGAGAGGUUAGAGAGAGGACACCCAUUCAGAAAAAAAGAGAGGGAGAGGUCUCGUUAUCAGCUAAGAGACGUCCACAUGGUUCUGUCGAUUGAUUGAAAUGAACAGUGAGAGUCCUGUAGAUCACAGACAAGACCCAUGCACUUCUCUCCUAUCUACAGUGACUACUCCCCCUUCACUGUCUCUAGUCUACACCACAGAGAAAGCACCUGGACUUGCAGUCAAUCACCUCUGAGACACCUGAGAAAUAGGAAAUAAGCUGAGAUAUCAGACACCACAGCACAAAUGACAUGUACAGGACAGAAGUGUGGAUGUCCAGUAGAGAGAGAGAACAUUAAAGUGAAAGAAAGAAAGAACAUCUUCAUCUGCCAGUCCUCACCUCCAUUUAACCUUCUCACAACCAUACCUUUCCUCACUCUGUUACCAAGAGUAGAGAUAUAGGAAGGAGCUCGGAAACUGCCACUCCAAUAGAAAUCCCUGCUCACGAUACUUAGCACUGGUGGUUUUUGGCUAGCUCAGCCAAUCAGCACAAGUACAGAGACACCAGACCGUGUUCAGUGUCAGAACUGUGCAAAAAGUAAAGUGGUCUUGAUUUGAAAAGCCAGAAGAGCAGUGUGUGUAAGGCUGUAGUGUAAGGCUGUAGUGUAAGGCUGUAGUCAGGCUGUAGUGUAAGGCUGUAGUGUAAGGCUGUAGUGUAAGGCUGUAGUCAGGCUGUAGUGUAAGGCUGUAGUGUAAGGCUGUAGUGUAAGGCUGUAGUGUAAGGCUGUAGUGUAAGGCUGUAGUCAGGCUGUAGUGUAAGGCUGUAGUGUAAGGCUGUAGUGUAAGGCUGUAGUCAGGCUGUAGUGUAAGGCUGUAGUGUAAGGCUGUAGUAUAAGGCUGUAGUGUAAGGCUGUAGUAUAAGGCUGUAGUGUAAGGCUGUAGUGUAAGGCUGUAGUGUAAGGCUGUAGUAUAAGGCUGUAGUGUAAGGCUGUAGUGUAAGGCUGUAGUGUAAGGCUGUAGUCAGGCUGUAGUGUAAGGCUGUAGUGUAAGGCUGUAGUGUAAGGCUGUAGUCAGGCUGUAGUGUAAGGCUGUAGUGUAAGGCUGUAGUAUAAGGCUGUAGUGUAAGGCUGUAGUGUAAGGCUGUAGUCAGGUUGUAGUGGCUCUUCAGGUUACUACAGAUUUAUACACACAAGUAAUACAAAUAUAUUCUUUAAAAAGACAAGGACUGAAGUAGGACAUCUCAAUUACUGAAGUAGCCAAUGAAUUAGCUAAUUUAAAAUCAGGUCAAAAUAUGAGUAUAAUAUACAUUUAAAACUCUGGAAUUUUGUAUACAGUUAUUGUUAUUGAGAGAGAAUGGUAACCGGGUAGGGCUCAAUAAAACCCAGUUACUACACAAUGCAUAGUGGUUGAGUAGGGCUCAAUAAAACCCAGUUACUACACAAUGCAUAGUGGUUGGGUAGGGCUCAAUAAAACCCAGUUACUACACAAUGCAUAGUGGUUGAGUAGGGCUCAAUAAAACCCAGUUACUACACAAUGCAUAGUGGUUGGGUGGGGCUGUAGGAAACCCAUUACUACAGAAUGUACGGAGGGUGGGUGAGGGUGUGUGUGUGAAUCACAGCUUGCCAUGUGUCAGCAGCAGAGUGAAACUAUACGCUCUCUGUCUGUCUGUCAUUGUGUUAAGUGGGUGACUCUCAGCUACAGUAUGUUAGCUAGCUAGCGUUAGUGUGGUUUAGCUAGCAUGACUCAGAGCCAUGACUGGCUAAAAGACCGUAGAAGUGAGGGACAAACAGCUGGAAUUACCUUUAUUUAGCUAGAAUGGUGUAAUAGUGGAGCAAGAACUGAAAUGUCAGAGCAUCCUCUAUUCCUCUGAUAUUGAUUAGGAUGAGUAAUAUUUAUGUAGAAGAGGGGUUUGAAGAGGUUGUGUUAAAUUAUUUUAUAGUCUUGAUGUUAGAUGUGUUUUCUUAAACUGUACUCAUUCUGAACAGCUAAAUAUAUUUUUUUAAUUAUUUCAACAAAAUCUGUAUAAUAUGUAUAUAGUUCAUUUGUAUAAUGAAUAAAACAAAUAAAGUUAAAAGUUAACAGAAACCUCAGUAAAACAUACAUAUUUUUUUUAUGUACUGGCCCCCCGUGGGAAUCGAACCCACAACCCUGGCUUUGCACACACCAUGCUGGCGUUGCAAGCACCAUGCUCUACCAACUGAGCCACAGGGAAGACUUAUUUGCUUAAUUCGCUGAACACAACAGGUGCUUAUUAGAGAGGCUUCUAUUUGAGCCAGGCUUCUAUUUCCUUAAUGCACACAGCGUUUGCUCAUUUGCAUAGUUAAUUGUUUACGUCCAGCAUUCACUUCCAGCAUUCACUUCCAGCAUUAACCUUUAUUUAACUAGUCAAGUCAGUUAAGAGCAAAUUCUUACUUACAAUGACGGCCUACAUUUGAAUCACUUUCUUCAUUUCCUGCACUAAUGUAUUAUCAUUUACACACUGUGUCACAUUUAUUUUGUCAUAGUACGCUUCUAUUAAAAAUGCUAACUUUUCCAUGACAGAAUAAUUAUUCUCCUCUUUGACUGUGUAUUUUCGUCAGUUCUCAAUUUUGCCAAUAGAGGGCAACCUGAUGAUUUCUAGGGGUCUGUACUCCCAAAGUUGUUGACUGUUUUUGUGCUUGCCAGUUAGCUAGCAGUUCUCAACUGUUAGAAGCCAAUGGCUGGCAAUUUCUUACUAGCGAUAAAAACAGAUGAUUGCCAUAAUUUUGCAGAGUCAUUACUGAAUUAUAUAAUGUAAAAAAAGAAACAAUAAACCUUGUAAACAAUGAAUGGUAAUUCAUGGUAACCUCGUAAAUAAUUCAUUUAGACCCGGCAUUUAUUUGGAACCGGCGUUAAUUUGAAAUGUGUGCAGUUGCCCAGCUAUUACAGUUUUUUUUUAAUCGCUUUGGUACUAUUUUCACAAGUAAAAAUGUUGUUCUUUCAAAACUUUAAUCACAUUUUCAAUUGACUGAGUACAACUCACAAAAUCCCACAGUGACUGUUUCAGCAACCCUAAUCAGUGUUUCAUCUAAAAAUAUCUUUCAUAUAAAGUCAUUGCCUUUCACAAUACUCA
RNAcentral lists this long non-coding RNA (3484 nucleotides) under Salmo salar (Atlantic salmon). Its description in RNAcentral is "lncRNA (ENSSSAG00000091316.1)". Lineage: Eukaryota; Metazoa; Chordata; Actinopteri; Salmoniformes; Salmonidae. The record is from RNAcentral.